This 433-nucleotide ribosomal RNA is filed under the name uncultured Clostridium sp. RNAcentral describes it as "partial 16S ribosomal RNA". It matches the Rfam family "Bacterial small subunit ribosomal RNA", at positions 341 to 792 of the family's 1533-position model. The record is from RNAcentral. Lineage: Bacteria; Bacillati; Bacillota; Clostridia; Eubacteriales; Clostridiaceae.
ACGGGGGCAGCAGUGGGGGAUAUUGCACAAUGGGGGAAACCCUGAUGCAGCGACGCCGCGUGAGUGAUGAAGUAUUUCGGUAUGUAAAGCUCUAUCAGCAGGGAAGAUAAUGACGGUACCUGACUAAGAAGCACCGGCUAAAUACGUGCCAGCAGCCGCGGUAAUACGUAUGGUGCAAGCGUUAUCCGGAUUUACUGGGUGUAAAGGGAGCGUAGACGGCAAGGCAAGCCAGAUGUGAAAGGCUGGGGCUCAACCCCGGGACUGCAUUUGGAACUGUCUAGCUAGAGUAUCGGAGAGGUAAGUGGAAUUCCUAGUGUAGCGGUGAAAUGCGUAGAUAUUAGGAGGAACACCAGUGGCGAAGGCGGCUUACUGGACGAUAACUGACGUUGAGGCUCGAAAGCGUGGGGAGCAAACAGGAUUAGAUACCCUGGUA